AAUAAGUGCAGCCGUGGAAAUCCGUGUCCAACGUUUGACCGUCCGUCUUAUUUGAAAAAUUUAUGAGAAAAUUAAAAAAAGUUAGUCACACAUAAAGUACUAUUUAUGUUUUAUCAUAUAAUAUCAAUAAAAAUAUUAAUCAUAAAAAAAUUAAUAUUUAUGUUGGACACGAAAACUCAUGGUUUGUCUUUUU
Molecule: microRNA precursor, 193 nt
Filed under: Oryza sativa Indica Group (long-grained rice)
Lineage: Eukaryota; Viridiplantae; Streptophyta; Magnoliopsida; Poales; Poaceae
Description: MIR812 microRNA precursor family
Rfam family: MIR812 microRNA precursor family
Source: Rfam by way of RNAcentral